Molecule: ribosomal RNA, 510 nt
Filed under: uncultured bacterium
Lineage: Bacteria
Description: partial 16S ribosomal RNA
Rfam family: Bacterial small subunit ribosomal RNA
Source: RNAcentral
GACGAACGCUGGCGGCGUGCUUAACACAUGCAAGUCGAACGAAGAGCGAUGGACGCUUGCUUCUAUCACUCUUAGUGGCGAACGGGUGAGUAACGCGUAAUCAACCUGCCCUUCAGAGGGGGACAACAGUUGUAAACGACUGCUAAUACCGCAUACGAUCUAAUCUCGGCAUCGAGGAUAGAUGAAAGGUGGCCUCUACAUGUAAGCUAUCACUGAAGGAGGGGAUUGCGUCUGAUUAGCUAGUUGGAGGGGUAACGGCCCACCAAGGCGAUGAUCAGUAGCCGGUCUGAGAGGAUGAACGGCCACAUUGGGACUGAGACACGGCCCAGACUCCUACGGGAGGCAGCAGUGGGGAAUCUUCCGCAAUGGACGAAAGUCUGACGGAGCAACGCCGCGUGAGUGAUGACGGCCUUCGGGUUGUAAAGCUCUGUUAAUCGGGACGAAAGGCCUUCUUGCGAAUAGUGAGAAGGAUUGACGGUACCGGAAUAGAAAGCCACGGCUAACUACGUG